Molecule: ribosomal RNA, 494 nt
Filed under: uncultured Desulfobulbus sp.
Lineage: Bacteria; Pseudomonadati; Thermodesulfobacteriota; Desulfobulbia; Desulfobulbales; Desulfobulbaceae
Description: bacterial SSU rRNA
Rfam family: Bacterial small subunit ribosomal RNA
Source: RNAcentral
UCAGAAACUUAAAGGAAGUUGACGGGGCCCGGCACAAGCGGUGGAGUAUGUGGUUUAAUUCGAUGCAACGCGAAGAACCUUACCUGGUCUUGACAUCCCGGAGACCCUUAGGAACUAGGGGUGCUUCCAUCUGGAAGAAUCUGGAGACAGGUGCUGCAUGGCUGUCGUCAGCUCGUGUCGUGAGAUGUUGGGUUAAGUCCCGCAACGAGCGCAACCCUUGCCUUUAGUUGCCAGCAGUUCGGCUGGGCACUCUAAAGGGACUGCCGGUGUUAAACCGGAGGAAGGUGGGGAUGACGUCAAGUCCUCAUGGCCUUUAUGACCAGGGCUACACACGUACUACAAUGGCCGAUACAAAGGGCAGCGACACUGCGAGGUGAAGCCAAUCCCGUAAAAUCGGUCUCAGUCCGGAUUGGAGUCUGCAACUCGACUCCAUGAAGUUGGAAUCGCCAGUAAUCGUGGAUCAGCAUGCCACGGUGAAUACGUUCCCGGGCCUU